AUGCAGGGAAGGGGUUACCUUUGCUAUUUGUUUUCUGUUACCUCUGUGUCAUUCAGGAGGAGUGUGGUAACAGGUCAUCUGAUGGUUGUUUUUCCUGAGAAGCUUGAAAAUGAGGGAAUGUUGCAAGAGAGUGACUGCAGGGUGCACCUGGCUGCCGGUUGUUCCUGUGGGCCUAUGCUCCUAAGUUUUUUUCUGAGGCGGUUUGAAGCAGCUGGUGAAGAUAGCACAAACGGGUGCUGCAUAUUGGACAAAGACUUGUCAACAGGGAAGGGAGUUCAGCUGGCAAAUGCUGCACAUUGA
Molecule: long non-coding RNA, 300 nt
Filed under: Aquila chrysaetos chrysaetos
Lineage: Eukaryota; Metazoa; Chordata; Aves; Accipitriformes; Accipitridae
Description: lncRNA (ENSACCG00020013690.1)
Source: RNAcentral